UACGUAGGGGGCAAGCGUUGUCCGGAAUCAUUGGGCGUAAAGAGCGCGUAGGCGGCCCUGUAAGUCCGCUGUGAAAGUCAAGGGCUCAACCCUUGAAUGCCGGUGGAUACUGCAGGGCUAGAGUCCGGAAGAGGCGAGUGGAAUCCUGGUGUAGCGGUGAAAUGCGCAGAUAUCAGGAGGAACACCGAUGGCGAAGGCAGCUCGCUGGGACGGUACUGACGCUGAGGCGCGAAGCGUGGGGAGCAAACAGG
RNAcentral lists this ribosomal RNA (251 nucleotides) under uncultured bacterium. RNAcentral describes it as "partial 16S ribosomal RNA". It matches the Rfam family "Bacterial small subunit ribosomal RNA", at positions 524 to 776 of the family's 1533-position model. The record is from RNAcentral.